RNAcentral lists this ribosomal RNA (199 nucleotides) under uncultured bacterium. RNAcentral describes it as "partial 16S ribosomal RNA". It matches the Rfam family "Bacterial small subunit ribosomal RNA", at positions 326 to 539 of the family's 1533-position model. The record is from RNAcentral.
ACGCUCGACACUACGGGAGGCGGCAGUGGGGAAUAUUGGGCAAUGGGCGCAAGCCUGACCCAGCAAUGCCGCGUGAAGGAAGAAGGCUUUCGGGUUGUAAACUUCUUUUGUCAGGGAAGAGUAGAAGACGGUACCUGACGAAUAAGCCACGGCUAACUACGUGUCAGCAGCCGCGGUAAUCUGAGCGGGCUGGCAAGGC